This 440-nucleotide ribosomal RNA is filed under the name uncultured bacterium. Its description in RNAcentral is "bacterial SSU rRNA". It matches the Rfam family "Bacterial small subunit ribosomal RNA", at positions 29 to 507 of the family's 1533-position model. The record is from RNAcentral.
AUUGAACGCUGGCGGCAUGGCUAAAACAUGCAAGUCGAACGAACCCGCAAGGGUGAGUGGCGAAAGGGUUAGUAAUGCGAUCGAACGUGCCCUGAGGUGGGGGAUAGCGUUGGGAAACUGACGGUAAUACCCCAUGAUCUCGCAAGAGCAAAGGUUUACCGCCUUGGGAUUGGCGAUUGUCCUAUCAGGUAGUUGGCGGGGUAAAAGCCCCCCCAGCCUUAGACGGGUAGCGGGUGUGAGAGCCCGGCCCGCAACAUCGGGACUGAGACACUGCCCGGACUCCUACGGGAGGCUGCAGUCGAGAAUUUUUGGCAAUGGGCGCAAGCCUGACCGAGGGACGCCGCGUGGAGGACGAAGGCCUUCGGGUUGUAAACUCCUGUCGAGGGGGAGGAAGGCGCAAGCUUGACCGAUCCGUGGAGGAAGCACGGGCUAAGUUCGUG